Molecule: transfer RNA, 85 nt
Filed under: Felis catus (domestic cat)
Lineage: Eukaryota; Metazoa; Chordata; Mammalia; Carnivora; Felidae
Rfam family: tRNA
About the family: Transfer RNA (tRNA) molecules are approximately 80 nucleotides in length. Their secondary structure includes four short double-helical elements and three loops (D, anti-codon, and T loops).
Source: Rfam by way of RNAcentral
GCCUGAGUGGCUCAGUCGGUUAAGCAUCUGACUUUGGCUCAGGUUAUGAUCUCAUGGUUCGUGGGUUUGAGCCCCGCAUUGGGCU